UCAACACAACGUGGAGGUAAUUGAUUAUUAGUUGAUUUAACUGUGUGAAAUUUCCAAGUCUGAAUAUUUGUUAAGUGUUUAUAUAAUACUGUUCAUUAUUUUAUUAGUAGUAAACGAAUGGACAUUUACGAGUACAAGUGGAGAAGAACUGACAAACAAGGACACACUGAAAAAAGUACAUCCUAAAUUACGAUCAAGAGGAUCAACCACUGUCCCUGUACCAAGAGGAGAGAAAGCCAUCUAUGAACACCAUGAGGUUGUAGAAAUACAUCCCAAAUUAACGGUACCAGUAAGAUCACAAGGAUCAACCACUGAGGACAUCUAUGAGCAUGAUGAAGUUAUCG
Molecule: long non-coding RNA, 344 nt
Organism: Saccostrea echinata
Lineage: Eukaryota; Metazoa; Mollusca; Bivalvia; Ostreida; Ostreidae
Exons: 3
Source: RefSeq, a predicted model, not a curated record